UAGGGAAUCUUCCACAAUGGACGAAAGUCUGAUGGAGCAAACGCCGCGUGAGUGAAGAAGGGUUCGGCUCGUAAAACUCUGUUGUUAAAGAAGAACAUAUCUGAGAGUAACUGUUCAGGUAUUGACGGUAUUUAACCAGAAAGCCACGGCUAACUACGUGCCAG
RNAcentral lists this ribosomal RNA (164 nucleotides) under uncultured bacterium. RNAcentral's name for it is "partial 16S rRNA". It matches the Rfam family "Bacterial small subunit ribosomal RNA", at positions 355 to 511 of the family's 1533-position model. The record is from RNAcentral.